Molecule: long non-coding RNA, 2178 nt
Organism: Heterocephalus glaber (naked mole-rat)
Lineage: Eukaryota; Metazoa; Chordata; Mammalia; Rodentia; Bathyergidae
Source: Ensembl
CCCAACCAGCUGUAUGACCUCGGUCACAUUUUAUUAUGUUAAAAGGAACUUACUAGCUCCUGCCUCACAGGAUUGAAAAUGAGACGGUGUUUGCAGCCCUUAACUUGGCUCCUGGAAAUAGUGAAGUUCAAGAAAUGGUUCCUUUCAGAGGGGAGCAACAACGGAAACCACCAGAAUCAGGAAGCUGCUGUGAUCAGGAAGUCUCCAUUACAGCUUCUGGAUCUCUGGAGCCUCCUGAAAUCCACAUCCUCAAGAUGGAUGGUGUGGGCCCUCCUUCGACACCUCCAAGGCUAUGCAGCGGCCACACACUGGGACCUCUGUUCAUCCUGGUGAAGAACUGUCCAGUGACUCCUUGAUCAAGCUUGCCAGCAAAACAGCAGAAGCGGCAGAAACGAAACUGGAACCAACGAAGUGCACCAUGAGAACCUAAAUUAUAUUUAGAACUUUGCUUCAGGGAAAUCUGAGAAAAACAAUCUUGUGGUGUUCCACCUCUCCGAAAGAGGAAGGUACACUAAAAGGAGCUUGGAAUGGCUGCUGAGCACCAACCCACUCCAUAUUACACCUUUGGCUGUUAAACACUCAUAUAUUCUCUUUCCUAAAUUGAGCUUCCAUGAAAACACAGGUCCUCACUAAUAUUCAAACACAUUUUCCUGCUCCUCAAAGGGAGACCUACACUUCUCAGUAUCCAUGUCUGGGCAAUGUUUAUUUUUCCCUGUAACCUAGUCAUGACCCAUUUUUGAUGUCCUACAACCGGUGUUCUAGAGGAGAGUUAAUCCUGACCCAAAACUCCUUCAUAGAACAGUAAGGGGAAGGGGGAAGGAAUAAAAAGGAUAGUUAUUAAUAGAUGUAAAUAAUAGAAAGGAAAACUAGGAGCUACAGCACUACAGUCCUCACAUGUGGUCUUAGUCAGGAGUCGUCAUUGGUAUUUGUGACUUCUUCCUCUUCUUCCCAUUCACUGUAGUCUUUGCACCCAGGCAAUUGCUCAGAGCCCUGGACUUCAUUGCCUGGUGACAUGAAACCUUUCUUCCUGAGGACCCUGAGCUCUAGGACUGCUGGAGGCUUCCAUAACUUUGGUCCCUGGAUGUGGCAGUCCUAAGAAGCCAUCCAGAGAAUCAAGUGGCCUUAGCUACCUUAGUUCUCUUUGCUGUUUAGGAGCAACCAUGAAGAGUCCAGUGAUUAAAGAUGAUCUCGACUUCUGGCCCAGUGGUACCACGUGUCCCCUGAUAGACACAUGUCUCCCUUAUGUCCACCAGCCUCCAAAUCAACCUAAACCCAAAGUUUGAGGUGAUUUACAGUCAAGCCUAGGAAAAAGCCCUACAAUGUUUAUGUCAAGAAAGAAUCUGUUCAUAUUCAUUAAUUUUUGUUUAAGAGAAUAUAACAUCUUGGUUAAACAGGUCAGUUUUAUUAUUCUAAAAAAAAUUAUGAUUUAGGCUUAUGAUUUCUAAAUUGAAAUCUUUACAUAUUUAUACAAAGUAGUGAGGCACUUAAAAGAACUUAAAACUCAACAUAGUAUAAAAUUACAGUAUAGCAAGAAAUUAUACAUAUAAUUAGAGGAUUCAGCACAGUUAUAAAGUUAUAGUUGUAAAUUAUAUAUACAUAUAGGAUUCAACGUGGCUUAUUAGAUUUAUAAGAAUAACACAAACACUUGGGAAGGGUUUUGUUAGUUAAGAUAUAUACUUGAGCUAUAGUAAAAGGAACUCUGACUGGGGAUUUAGCUCAGUGGUUCCGCCACCUGCCUCACAAGCGCAAGGUCCCAAGUUCGAUCCCCAGCACCAAAAAAAAAAAAAAAUUGUGGAGAAUGUUUUCCGCCACCUGCCUCGUAAAAGGAAAUCUAAUAUUAAAUAUAUAAAUGUAGUUUAAAAUGUUUAAAGGAAUUUUAACUGAAUUUAUAAAGACCUCUUUUCUAGUGAUUAUCAGAAUUUACUAACUUUACAUAUGGAAUAAUAAGAUCUGUAAGUUGAAUCUAACAGGAGUUAGCAGACUUUUUCUGUUAAGAGCCACUUUCUGGACUCUAUGGUCUCUGUUACAAUUAUUCAACCAUGUUAUAAUAGCACAAAAACAACCGUAGACAAGAUGUGAAUGAACAGGUGUGGUUGUGUUCCAGCCAGACUUUAUUUACACAAAUGGGCAGCCAGCCAGUUCUGGCCUACAGCCUGUAGUUUGCCAAUUUCUGAUCUA